Molecule: long non-coding RNA, 1145 nt
Organism: Mesocricetus auratus (golden hamster)
Lineage: Eukaryota; Metazoa; Chordata; Mammalia; Rodentia; Cricetidae
Exons: 3
Source: RefSeq, a predicted model, not a curated record
AGUUUAGUUUCCUCUAGUUAAAUGAGUAACUUGGGCUACCCUAGUGCCCAGUGCUUAACUCCCAGCAAGAGUCCUCCAUGUCCCCUGAAGCAGGAAGUGAGGGACCCUUCCCUAAGACAAGCCUGUAGGUUCCACCUAUGAAGUUCUCUACAGGUGACAGCAGAAAUGGGCAGUGGGCAUCUCUUACCAUGUUGGGAAGAAGGGAUUGAACCAGCAACAUCUUGGGACACUGGUGCAUGACACUGCUGUGAAUGCCCUUCAUGACAAGUGAAGAAGAGCACUGAGAAGCCAAGAAAGGCUACAAACAAAAGCAGGGAUUGUUCAAGAAAUGGACCCUUUUCAGAAGUCUUCAAAGCCAUCCUUUCACAAAGUCUGGCAGGGAUACAGUAUCGAGCCUGGUUCCUCCCCAGUAAGCAGUUAGACGGAGUCAGAAUGAAGUUCAUUGACCCAAGCAAGAUUCUUGUUGAAUGGCAGAAAAGUCUUCCAGAAUCACAGAAUCACAGAAUCACAGGGCGGCUCAUUACCUCGACCUUCCCACCAUCUUCAGCAGCAGAUGACCACCUUCAGCUUCUGCUGUGUCGAGAAAGGAAGUGCCAGAGCAGCAGUUCAGACUGGAAUCAAAGAAGACCAGCGUCAGAAUUUGUUAAAAUUCACCUUCUUGGGCCUUGCUCCAGAGCUGCCAAAGCAGUGAUGUGUUUCAACAAGGCUUCUGGGUGGUUCUAAUGAGCACUGAAGUUCUCUGUCGCUGUGUCUCGAUCUUAGCUCAGCCUGGACGUUGGAAUGGAUGAGUCUUUGUAGUGGGGUGGCUCUGCAAACUGUGUGAUGUCCAACAGCAUCUUUGACUUGCAUCCCUAGAUGCCAGUAGCUUUCCUUCCAUACCCCAAUGUGAUAACCAAAAAUGUCUCCAGUCAUCACCAAAUGUCUCAGAUUAAAGGAGAAGUCACUCCUUGGUGAAUUAAUGAGCCAAGUACACGCUAUUCCUCCAUGCCCUGGGUUUUUUUCUGAGCCAUAUUGACAAACAACUGCCAGACCCUCCAAGUGACUCCAUAGCCAGUGAUAAUAGAGCCCAGGAAAAUGGACCAGUGAGGCAGCUUCCUACAAAUACAUGGAGCUUCUGAUCUCAAUAAAUCUUUCUUUUGAACCUA